RNAcentral lists this long non-coding RNA (5568 nucleotides) under Sus scrofa (pig). RNAcentral describes it as "lncRNA (ENSSSCG00000059497.1)". The record is from RNAcentral. Lineage: Eukaryota; Metazoa; Chordata; Mammalia; Artiodactyla; Suidae.
UAAAAAGACAAAAGUCUAUUCCAUCAAGGAUCUUAGAGUCUAGUUCAAAAUAAAGAAGAGUAAAUAAACGCUUCACACAAGGCCCCGAGCACAGAGCUGAGAACAGAAGAACUGUGAAUUCAGGAGCCACGUCAGGUGUAGGGGCUGGGAAGGUUUCACCUACUUGUCUUAAAGCUGGAGCAGUACUUGCAAAUGGUCUGAUUGCUUAAGUUAUUUUCUUUGUCUUUGGAUAUAGGAUAUCUUUUUUGGUAGUUUCCAGUCUAUUUUAUUGAUGGUUGUUCAGCGGUUAGCUGUAAUUGGAGUGUUUUCAUGACAGAGGGUAAGCUUAAGUCCUUUUACUUUGCCAUCUUGUCUGGGGUUUCUGAUUGCUUAAAUUAUCUGUGCUCUAUGCAAGACACAUUCUUUCAUUGGAGAUCCUGAUAAUAGCCAUGGAUUUCCCAUUCAGUUAUGCUUUCGCGAUUAAAAACAUCCUCAAAGUAUUGAGGCAGAAUGGCGCAGGGCGGGAUGGGGUGGAGGUGCCCAGUUGGGAGCCAGGGGCUUGUAGGGGAGCAGCGGAGUCAGGGACAAGCCUGACCUAACCAAUUCUCAGAGUGGGGAUGAAGAGGCUGGGAAAAAAGUCCCAGUCAAGAAACACCUGGUUGUCUCUGGAUCUUUGCCUCGUAAAAUAAAAAGUCAAGCAUCUGAUGUUGGCCGCCAUCCCUGGCAACUGGAGGAAAUCCCCAGAAUCCUGCUCUUGAACAAAUGGCGGUCUCAAGCUCUAGGGCUGAGGGGUGUGCCUGCUUCCAAGGAACCCAGGUGUUUUAGGCAGAUUUUUCUUCAGAUACAAGGCACCGGAACCCCAAAGAGCCUGGCUGGCUUUAAACCAAAAAAUAGAAUUUAAAAAAAAAAUUAAAGUAUAGUUGAUUUACAGUGUUGUACCAAUUUCCUCUGUACAGCAAAAUGACCCAGUCAUACAUAUUUAUACCUUUCCUUUCUUAUAUUAUCUUCCAUCACGGUCUAUUCCAAGAGACUGGACAGAGUUCCCUGUGCUGUACCGUAAGACCUCAUUGCUUAUCCAUUCUAAAUGUAAUAAUUUUGCAUCUACUAACCCCAAACUCCCCAUCCAUGCCACUCCUCCCUCUUCUCCUUGGCAACCACGAGUCUGUUCUACAUGUAAAAAGGGGGAAUUUAUUGAUCUGUCUAAUAGAAAUAUAGAGAGGGAUUUCAUGAAGAGAAGGAUAUGGGAACUCCAAAGAUAUUAUCAGGAAUAGUAAUUUUCCAUAUUUUAAUUUUUUUUUUUUUUUUUUUGUCUUUUUGUCUGUUCUAGGGCCUCACUGGCAGCAUAUGGACGUUCCCAGGCUAGGGAUCUAAUCGGAGCUGUAGCCACCGGCCUACACCAGAGCCACAGCAAAGCCAGAUCCGAGCUGCGUCUGUGACCUACACCACAGCUCACGGCAACACCAAAUCCUUAACCCACUGAGCAAGGCCAGGGAUCGAACCCACAACCUCAUGGUUCCUAGUCGGAUUCGUUAACCACUGUGCCAUGACGGGAACUCCUGUAAAGCACUUUGAAUGAGGUUGGUUUUCCAGGACAAAGUCACGUGUCCACCCUCGACCGUCUUCCCCAGAUAGAGAGCAAAUGCUCAGCGAAUGUUAGGAGUUAAGACUAUUACUUUUACUACCCCAGCCCUUCUCUCAUGGGAAUUUCCAAAACACAGAAAGGGAGCUCCAGUUACCAUAGAGUAACAAUCAAAAGUAAAGCACUUGUGAGUAUAUUGAGCUGGAGCUGCCCUCCCCCGUGUGUAGGGUAUGUCAGAUAGUCCCAGUACUCUCUUUUAGCUUCUGGUUUCUCAGCAUCCUGUCACUCUGGGAUCAGUAAGAUGUUUCCCAGGGGCAUCACUGAAGAGGAGUUUGUCCCUUAAGAAAGACAGCUGCGGAGUUCCCACUGAGGUUCAGCAGGAUAAGAACACAACAUGGUCUCUGCGAGGAUGUGGGUUUGAUCCCUGGUCUCUCCCCGUGCUUAAGGAUCCGGAAGCCAUAGCAUAGGUCGUAGAUGCAGCUCAGAUCUGGUGUCGCUGUGGCUGUGGCUGUGGCAUAGGCCGGCAGCUGCAGCUCCAAUUAGAACCCUAGCCUGGGAACUUUCAUUGCAAGUGCAGCCAUUAAACAAACAAACAAACAAAAAGACACCUGGCCUGGAAGUCUGGGGUGGAGAAGGAGGGAGGGAGGCAGAGUACAGACGAGUGACUCUUUUCAAAACACAUCCACUUCUUGGAAGCCUCCUGGGCCACUGCACUUACUCAGAGACCCAAGCCUCCCUGAUAUUACUAGGAAGAAAGAGUUUGUCUCUUUCUUGCAAGAACUUUCUUUCCUCUCCCUCCUAUUGCCUUUAUCUUGGACUGACCCAGUUCACUUCUGGUCCUCCGUGGGCCAUCUGGGUUCUUUUCCCCUUUCCUUCGAUAAGGUGGUUUCUGUGUCACAGAGAUGAGACACACACAUAUCCACUGAGGAGCAAAGAGUGGGGGUCAGCAGCUUCUUAAAUAUUUCGGUUACGAGGAUAAUGAAAUGGAGACCAAAGGAUCACUGUCUAAGGUUAUCCAAAUAGACUGCUUUCCAAGAAGGGAUGAAAAGGAGAAUGUCAUAAACCCAGUGGGAAAGUACUGGAUGCCUGGGGAGUAGGUCACCUCUUUUCACCCUGACCUUUUCUCCAGGCUUCACUGGCUUCUUGCUGGAGGGUGGUGUUUUGAUGCCUGGUCUUGGCAAGGGUUGCUCUCUCGUGAGAUUUUUUGCAGUUGCCACCUGUAAUCUAUUCUGAGUUGAGGUCCAAAUUUAGAGAAAUGUGAUUGUCUGCCCCUGGUAGGCAAAGACUUCUUAUGUGUUCAGUCAUCUACUCUUUAUCCACUGUCCUUUAUCUUCUUCCAAUCAUACUGGUCCCCUCAAUUUGUCUGCAUCUGGUUCCCGACUCUUGGCUUUGCGCUUGCUGUUUCUCGUUGGUCAGAUCCUGCUGUUUCUGGCCCCGCAUCCUUUCCAAAAGGAGCCUAGUGCCUCUGACCUGUCCAAAGUGAGGCUUGCUGCUAAGAUGGGAUACAUCUCCCGAAUACUGUUUCAACAUGACUUUGAUCCUCAAAACAUUUGACAUACACCAAGAUAGACUAUCAGGAGAUAUAAUGGGACAUUUUGUUGGCUCUGAAAUGGUGAUGUAAGAUCUGAACAAGUAUUCAAUAAAUAGUGAAUAUUGAUAAUUGUGAUUGAGCGCUAUAGUCACAGCCUCCUUCUCUGUCCCAUUUCUUACUCUUCCAUCAUUUCUUUCUUUUCUUUUCUUCUUUUUUUUUUUCUUUUUGCCUUUUUAGGGCCACACUCACGGCAUAUGGAGGUUCCCAGGCUAGGGGUUGAAUCAGAGGUAUAGCUGCCGGCCUACACCACAACCACAGCUACUCAGGAUCCAAGGCACAUCUUUGACCUACACCACAGCUCACAGAAACACAGGAUCCUUAACCUACUGAGUGACGGCAGGGAUUGAACCCUCAUCCUCAUGGAUACUAGUUAGGUUCCUUAACCAUUGAGCUACUAGGGGAACUCCACCAUUUCCUCUCGUUAAUAGCUUUCCUUGCUUAUUUGCAUUUGUGUGUCUACAUUAAUCCAACCAGACUGGGGAGGGACAAACUGAAGUUUUUAAGAAAGCAACAGCGGCCUUUUGCUAAGAACUUAGGUUUUACAGCCAGGCUUCCUCAGUUCAAAUUCUAACCCUGCUCCAUAGCCAGUUUGGGUUCCAGUUCUUGACCCUUUUCUACGUCCACUUGCAAUGGUUGUGUCUAGGGCAGCAUAUACUUCCCAUUGCUUGACCUUAAGCUCACCCAUGUGACUUGCUUUGGCUAAGUUUUAUGUAGGUGGAGAGAUGUCCCAGUGCUAUGAGUCUUAAGAGGCCAAAUAUGUUACUUUGUUAUUUUUUAUCUCUACCAUCACUAUGAAAAGCACAUACCCCAGCCAGGGCACUGGUCCCAAAGGGAUGAAAAAUACAAGGAACGGAACCACCCUAGUUGAAUCCAACUCAUUAGGGCAGCCAGCCUCCUGUAAACCCAGAGGUGCAUGGCCUAACUCGGUGCUUCCUGCUCUCUGCUGCGGAGAAUCUGUAGUCAUUUGUUACACAGCAUUAUGACAACAAUAGCUAACUGAAUCUUCUCUCAGUGUCUUAAGGUCCUCUCAAAUAAUUUGAAAAGAAGAAAUCAGAAGUGGACCUUUUAUAGGGUUGCUGAGGAGGAUAAAUGAGCCCAUGCAUAUGAAGUGCUAAUUAAACUGCCUGAUACACAAGAACCAGUGAGCACUUACCUGUUCCUAUCAUUACCAUGUGCCAGGAGUUUAUGUUCAUUAUUCUUUUUUUUUUUUUUUUUGGUCUUUUUGCCAUUUCUUGGGCUGCUCCCACGGCAUAUGGAGGUUCCCAAGCUAGGGGUCUAAUCGGAGCUGUAGCCACUGGCCUACGCUAGAGCCACAGCAAUGCAGGAUCCGAGCCGCGUCUGCAACCUACACCACAGCUCACGGCAACUCGAGAUCGUUAACCCACUGAGCAAGGGCAGGGAUCGAACCCACAACCUCAUGGUUCCUAGUUGGAUUCGUUAACCACCCCACCACGACGGGAACUCCUAUGUUCAUUAUUCUUAUCCACGUGGGCUUCAGGUUUCCCACCUGCCAAGUGGAGAGAGAUGAGGUUUAAACUGGUGAAAUUCCAAAAGAAUUAUAAGUUCUGUGUAAGUAUGAGAGACACUUAAAGGAUAGUUUUCAGGAACAGAAACAAAGGUGGUUCCCAGUGACCUGCAGAGGAGAAGCUGGAGGGUGAAACUUCAUUGAAAGCUCAAAUGGUAAACUACCCAGGUGACCACACGGCCUCUGCCAACAGAUCAGGAAGGGAAGGGAAAAAGCUUCCUUCCAGGAACUGAUGAUAAAGAGAAAAACAAAGAACCAAAGAUACAAGCCUUGGGUUAGAAGCCUGAAUCCCUGAAAUGAAUCCUGAGUGUCCAUAUUUUACUGCUAUUUCAGUGGAGUUCUUCUACUUCAUCCCACCUUUGUGCCAUGGAUUUUGUCUUUGUUUUAUGCACAACAGGCCUGGGAGGGUUGUGGGGCUACAACCAUGACCUUGUCAGAAGAGGUGGUGUCGUACCCUCCUGCCACAUGGAAGGUUGUAUUCCCAAAUCACUUUCUUUAGGGCUUCUCUCCAGGGGUGGAGAAAAAGGACACGUGUCUACACAGGCACCAGGGCAGAGCCCUGGAUUCAACUUUGCUUUCCUGGAGCCAGGCUGGAGAAAGGUGUUAUCAGGGCUUUUCAGAUGUGUGCUUCUGCAAGCCCAGGAUUUUCCAAGGAUGAACAUUCAAGCCUACUUUAGUAUGAGGCCAGGAAAUGGAAGAGAAGGGGAUACCUUUCCUUGCAGGCACCAACCCAGGGGUCAGUUCAUUUACAAAUAUUCCUGUGGCUCCUACGUCUCCCUAAAAUAACCAGGAAGCCCAAAACUUAAACCUGAGCUUGCAAAGAAGUCUAGCUACAAAGGGCAUCUUUAAAUUGAGUGCCGUUAAUAUCACUCUGCCGAACACUGUAAACCAGCU